This 1236-nucleotide long non-coding RNA is filed under the name Equus caballus (horse). Its description in RNAcentral is "lncRNA (ENSECAG00000056474.1)". The record is from RNAcentral. Lineage: Eukaryota; Metazoa; Chordata; Mammalia; Perissodactyla; Equidae.
CUGGAUAUCACCCUACGACACCUCACCAUCGAUAACCAUCAUGAUUCACCACUAAAGAGAGCAUCUAAUUCAACCCACAUUGGAAUCUUCCUUUGAGUCAUUUUCCUUAAAAGGGUUACAGCACUUCCAGCUCCAUUGAGCACUGGCAUAUCUUCUUUUAUUUAUUUUUUAGGUACAAUUUACGUACGGUAAAGUGCAUAAAUCUUAAGUGUUUUGCUUGAAGAAUUUUUACUUACAUGUAUACUCAUCACCACCUACCAGACGAAGAUACAGAACAUUUCCAACACUUCAGAAGCUUCUCUUAUGCCCAUUUCCAGUCUACACUGCUCCAAAGACUUGCCUCCAAAUGACUUUUAUAUGUAACUGUAAGAGCAACAUUCAAUCAGAAAAGCAGAGCCACUAUAAGUGAUAGAGAACAAGGGAUUUAUUUUAUGGAUUAAACUUACAUCCUUGUGGGAGCUGGUGAAGAUGCAUGUUGCCUCUGCCUCUGGUGUGGGUCUGAGGUCUCUUUAGAGCAGCAGGGCCCACAGUCAGGAAGAAAAUCUGACAAGAAGUGUGGGAGAGUGAGGACAAACUGGAGCCCACAUGAGUCUCUCACUGCCACCAUCAUUGACGAUGCGCAUGACCUGCAGAAGCUUUGCUGCGGAGCUACACCUGUGUCUGGUAUCUGGCCCUGGAGUCAGAGAAGCUGGAGCAGCAAUGCAGUGGCAGCUCCUCUGAGCCCUGCUGCUGCCCCAGGCCCACAGGGGAGCCCCCUGGAGCAGCAGCAACAUGUGCAAACUGCAGUGACACCUGACACCCUCCACCAACCUUUCAGAGCAUUAUGCUGCUGAUUCAAUUCCACCUCCCACAUCUUGCCUGAAAAUUUCUUAUGACGAACCCUAACCCAGCACUGUACAGGGAAGGACAUUCUGGGAAAUGUAGUUCAGCUUAGUAAACUGACACAGCACGAUACCAGCCCAGUUAUAAAACUCAAGCUGAUCUCCAAGGGAGUGUUUGCCAUCAUUGAAAGAGUCGAAAACAAACGCCAAUAUAAAAGUUUCCGAAAACGUUGGGCACAAGGAUAGAAUCUUUGGAAUGAGUGACAAAUGCUUCCAAGAAGUUCUGAUUGACUUUAAAAAAGGACAACGUCAAUUUGAAUGCAUAACAUUCUGGUUUCUCCACAGGGAGGAAAAAUGAGUCAUAUUAUUUUAUAGCCAUUCCUUCUAUUUUCAUCACUUUUCCCCUAUGGUUCUC